Molecule: ribosomal RNA, 255 nt
Filed under: uncultured bacterium
Lineage: Bacteria
Description: partial 16S ribosomal RNA
Rfam family: Bacterial small subunit ribosomal RNA
Source: RNAcentral
UACGGGGGGGGCAAGCGUUGUUGCGGAAUUACUGGGCGUAAAGGGCUCGUAGGCGGCCAACUAAGUCAGACGUGAAAUCCCUCGGCUUAACCGGGGAACUGCGUCUGAUACUGGAUGGCUUGAGUUUGGGAGAGGGAUGCGGAAUUCCAGGUGUAGCGGUGAAAUGCGUAGAUAUCUGGAGGAACACCGGUGGCGAAGGCGGCAUCCUGGACCAACACUGACGCUGAGUGAGCGAAAGCCAGGGGAGCAAACGGG